GCCGGGCAGGCGGGCGGGCGGGCGUCCCGCAGGGAGCGCCGCACCGAAGGGGUUAAGCAACAGUCUUCCUCUGCUUCUUACUACAUGGAUGAAAACAUGGCCACAGACAGCUUUGAAAUUUCUAUGUCAUCGGUCCAGCCAUUCUGAGAAAAACAAAAUCAAUCCCAACCCUUUCCCCUCUCCCCAACCCACUCAUCAUUCCAGAUUUCCAGUCUUAGCAGAUGUUCACCUUGGCACAAUCAACUGUGGCCAAGGGCUGAUGUUCAGUGAGUACAAAUGCUUGACAAUAUCUAAAAUUGGGAACUGUUCUUGUGAAUCAAGAUAUGUGGCCAUCCUACAUAUAGUUAAAUGAGAAGAUCCAACUUUAAGAUUCAAUGCAUGUAUGUUCUGCUAUCAGAGCACUCAGGGAGACACAGAUGCCUUCUUUAUUCCUCCUGUGACUGCUCUACAAAACUCCAGAAGCAUGGCGAAACGUUGACUGUGAAGCAAACAGGACCCACAAUAACUACAGUGCCUGAAGAUCUAUUUUCUCUGGCUGAAGAACAUUUGAUUUGUUCCCAGUUUUGGACUAUCACAGAUAAUGCUGCUAGGAACAUUUGCGUACAAAUAUUUGUUCUUCUUUUUAGCAUCGUUAGAUAAAGUAGGCACGCUCCUCGUCAUCCAGGAACUCGUAAUGCAGCAAAUGACGCUGGCUGAUACUCCAUGUCCAGACCUGAGGACCCAGUGCGACCUCUUGUAUAAACAUCCUGCUUAACUAGAAAUGUCUUUUCCUAUUUCCAUAUUGCCACUUUGCUUAAAAAUUUCUGGUCUGUCUUUCUGUUUAUGUAAGAUAUGCAGAAUUCCUUUCUGGGGGGUCUCUUUAUAUCUCUUGAUCCUCUUUUAUCUUUGCUACCAAAGGGUUUGCACAUCAGUGAAAGGAGUGUGGGUGAUUUGUGAGCUCUACCACAUUUGGAAAUAUGGGUCACCAAUUU
Microcebus murinus (gray mouse lemur) is the source of this 971-nucleotide long non-coding RNA. RefSeq lists it as uncharacterized. NCBI's taxonomy places the organism in Eukaryota, Metazoa, Chordata, Mammalia, Primates, Cheirogaleidae. The record is from RefSeq and is a predicted model, not a curated record.